Molecule: unclassified non-coding RNA, 425 nt
Filed under: fungal sp.
Lineage: Eukaryota; Fungi
Description: partial internal transcribed spacer region
Rfam family: Eukaryotic small subunit ribosomal RNA (bases 1-46)
Source: RNAcentral
AAGUCGUAACAAGGUUUCCGUAGGUGAACCUGCGGAAGGAUCAUUAACACGUAUCCAAACUUAAAACAACCCUGUGAAUAUUGAGGCUCAGUUCCCCCAGCGCACGAAAACGGGCUUCUUCUAGUAAAUCAUUGUCUUAAGAAGGUUUUGAGUUAGAGGAUGGCGUGUGUAGUAGGUGACUGUAUUGGGUAGAAGCGCUUCGCAACGAUCCACCUCCUGGUGCCCCCAAGCAACCAUCAUUCUGAAAGUGUUUGGUGAAUUGUGCAAGGGCAGCGCAGUCAACGAUCGAUGGCCCUCACGGUCAUCGACGGGGGUUGUUAACCUGUAGUGGGUCUCGUAACGACGCAUGUUAAAAGCGCCCGACGAAAGUCGGCCGACGCACCCAGAACCCCGAACAACUGUUAACAAUGGAUAUCUUGGUUCUC